GCUGGCGGCGUGGCUAAGACAUGCAAGUCGCACGGGACCCGCAAGGGUUCAGUGGCGAACGGGUGAGUAAUGUAUCGCUAAUGUGCCCCGGACUCUGGGAUAGCUACCCGAAAGGGCAGGUAAUACCAGAUGAUAUACCUUUGUCGCAUGGCAGAGGUCUCAAAGGUCCGCCGGUCUGGGAGCAGGCGAUAUCGUAUCAGCUAGUUGGUGAGGUAACGGCUCACCAAGGCGACGACGCGUAGCUGGUCUGAGAGGACGACCAGCCACAUCGGGACUGAGACACUGCCCGGACUCCUACGGGGGGCUGCAGUAACGAAUCUUCCACAAUGCACGAAAGUGUGAUGGAGCGACGCCGCGUGUGGGACGAAGUCCUUCGGGAUGUAAACCACUGUCAGGGGUAAGAAAGUUCUGAUCUACCCCAAAGGAAGAGACGGCUAACUCUGUGCCAGCAGCCGCGGUAAUACAGAGGUCUUGAGCGUUAGGCGGAAUCACUGGGCUUAAAGCGCGUGUAGGCGGAUCGUUAAGUGCCUUGUGAAAUCCCACGGCUUAACCGUGGAACGGCUGGGCAUACUGGCGAUCUUGAGCCACCUAGGGGCCUGCGGAACAAGCGGUGGGAGCGGUGAAAUGCGUA
This 631-nucleotide ribosomal RNA is filed under the name uncultured soil bacterium. RNAcentral's name for it is "bacterial SSU rRNA". It matches the Rfam family "Bacterial small subunit ribosomal RNA", at positions 35 to 692 of the family's 1533-position model. The record is from RNAcentral.